AAGUUCGUAGAGAUUUUCACAUUCUUAAGUUUAUUUUGGGAUGAGGGAGUGAGGGAGGGAGUGCCAACCCAGUGCCAGGUUGGUUGCUGGCACUGGGUGUGUUGUGCUCGAUACAUGAUUAUUCAUUUGUGAAUCUUAAAUUAAUUUAUCUUCAUAACAAUGGGGAAUUACAAGUCUAGACCCAAAUCUUGCUGUUCUCAAGAACUUCUGAAGAAGAUCUUAGAAAAUUAUGCUAUUUUAGAAGAGAAGCUGCAUGAAGACCUGCACGUGGGACAUGUUUAUGACUUCACAGACUUAGAGAAAAUCAUAUGCAAUGGAACAUCAGACCAGUUGGUAAAUCGUCUGGGUUCUGAAACUCUUAGUGAAAAAUCAGACAAUGGUGUGACUCUAAUGCAGCUCUGCUGCUUAUCCUCUGUAAGUUGGAAAAACGAUGAAAUUAAAGAGAAGAAGGAAGAUAAUGGAGCAGAUGUUGGGUCCCAGGCACCUUGUUUCCUUCAACUCGUGAAACCUUCUCGUGAGAAAGCUAAUCGGAAAGAUGGAAGUCAAGAGACCAGUCAGGACAAUAAAGGUGAACCAGAUGUUGGUAAACACUUGGCAAAAAUUCAGACAAACAAAGAGAUAAAAGAUCAGAUCCGCCUCUUGUUACAGAAGGGAGCAGAUCCUGCUAUUAUCAGUAAAAAUGGGUUCUCAGCUCUCCACCUGGCAUCUUAUAAGGGUGACAUUGACUUAGUGCGACUCUUCCUGGAGAAAUGCAACCAUCUGGACCACACAGGUGCAGGGAGUGUCACUGCUCUUCAUAUAUCCUGUCUUGCCGGUCAUCUACAAGUUACUCAAGCAUUGGCUCAACGUGGUGCUAAUAUUGAAGCCCGGGAUGCCGUGUCUUUCUCCCCGUUGCAUAUAGCCUGCUUGUUUGGAAAUGAAUCUGUCGUUGAAUAUUUGCUGUCUCGUGGGGUAGAUGUUAAUAUUGCGGGAUCUGUUGGUGACCGACCGCUACAUCUGGCUGCUACGAGGGGGUAUUAUAAGAUUGUACAAAUGCUUCUAAGAAAAGGAGCAAGAGUAAGACUCCAGGAUGAGGAAGGGAACACAGCUCUCCAUUGUUGUGUACAAAAUGGACAUUUCAGCAUUCUGAAUUUACUACUUCAACCUCAGUACCGCACUGAUGCUCACAUCUCCAAUGUUUAUCUUGAUACUCCUCUACAUGUUGCAUGUUACUAUGGCUGGAUUGAGUGUGCCAAGGCUCUGCUAACAUAUGGUGGGUCAAGUCUGCUCCUGAGAGAGAAUAUGUGGGGAGAAACUGCUCUACAUGCAGCAUGUACUGGAGGACAGUGUAUAGACCUGGUGGACUAUCUGUUGAGCCAAGAUGCUACCUCAGUGAACUACCAGAGCCCAGAUGGUCACACCCCCCUGCACUCUGCAUGUUAUCACGGACACACAAGAAUAGUUCAGCUGCUUCUGAGUCACGGAGCGGACAUCAACCUCACGGCUCAUGAUCGUUUUAAUAAUUCUGAAAAAAAGGAGGAGCAGACUCCCCUGAUGUGGGCAUAUGACAGAGGUCAUGAUGAUAUUGCCAACUUCCUUAAACACUUCCGUCGUCCAGGGCUCUAUGAGGAUUAUGCCAGAGGAGAUUAUUUAUCUGGGUUGGACACUUCUUAUUUUCCCAUUCCAUCUCCUAUUGGGAAGCUGAGGACGAUGGUUCAAGAGAAGAUAGAUGUGCUUCACCUGCGGUCAGUGUUACCACCGCAUCUUCACCUUAGUCUCUCUGAGAUAGAGAGCCUAGAAAACAUAAGCUCUGGCUCAUUUGGUAAAGUCUACAAAGGAAAAUACAAUGACAAGAUUGUGGCCGUCAAAAGGUACAGAGCCCACCUGUCGUACGGAAAAAGUGACGUUGAGAUGUUUUGCCGUGAAGUCUCUGUUCUUGGGUCUUUGGAUUCUCCGUAUAUUGUCAAAUUUGUUGGGGCUUGUCUACAUGACCCCAGUCAAUUUGCCAUAGUUACUGAAUAUGUACCUGGAGGCUCUCUCUUCAGCACACUACAUGAACAGAAAAGGUCGAUAGAUACCAUAACAAGGUUUAAUAUUGCCAUAGAUGUAGCAAAUGGCAUGUACUACCUUCACACUCUCCCACAACCAAUUAUACAUAGAGAUUUAAACUCUCAUAAUAUUCUUCUCAACAAUGAGUGUCGUGCCAGAGUUGCUGAUUUUGGGGAGUCUCGAUUUGUACGCAACAUCUUCGAGGAGAAUAUGACGAAGCAGCCGGGUAACCUUCGCUGGAUGGCCCCUGAAGUGUUUACUCAGUGUACCAGAUACUCCAUCAAAGCAGACGUUUUCUCUUUUGGGCUGUGUUUGUGGGAACUUCUGGCUUCUGAACUUCCUUUUGCUCAUCUGAAACCUGCUGCUGCUGCUGCUGACAUGGCAUACAGACACAGUCGACCACCGUUAGAAUUGGCUUUCCCAGUGGAGGUAUCAGUUCUUCUAGAAAAAGCUUGGCACAAGGUGCCUGAGGAACGGCCAAAUUUUUCUCAGAUAAUAGAAGAAUUAGAAAUUUUGUGCAAGUCUCAAAAAUCGGCUCUGCAGGAUGGAGGAGACCUCGUCCACCCACACCAUCACCUACAUGCCUGCUGUGCCACUUGUUCAGUUGGCUCACCAACAGGCAGUACCACGCCCCCUGAUGCUUCUCAACACACCAAUUCAGAGCUUUCUGGUCUUUCCCUCAAUUUGAAUUAAGUUCCCAGCUGAUCGCUAUCGAGAGCAAACAUUGUAGACCGGCUCUCCCCUGGCCUGUUUAUUUACAACCAAAAGCUAAGUGCCCAUCCAUCCAUCCCCUACAUAACACAUCAAGGUUUAUUGACAGGAUCUUCCAUUGUUCUUUGAGUUAACAUUGAAGUAGGAUUGAUACUACAUCUUAUAUAUACGUACUGUAUAUAUGUACAAGUACUGUAUAUCAUUUUGUGAGGUUUGUUUACAUUAGUAUUUAGCAAUCUAUCCAUGUCUGAGUUUAUGAAUCUGUUAGGUGGUUAGUCUUUCAGCCCCUUGCCUUGUGUCAUAGAAUCUCACUGGCACAUUAUUGCUGUCCCCAGUUAGUGAGUUUUUGCAGCGCUACAGGAUGGACUGAGUAUUCUAAGUACCUGUACUCUACUGUAGAUCUUUUUUGGGUAAAUAGAUAGCUUUUGCCUAGUCACCUUUUUAAUAUACAGUAAUUACAUUUUAUAAUGAAGCACUAAGAAAAAGUUGGUAGGCCUUUCUUAUAAGAAAGUGGGUGCUUUGCAUGGCAAACUCCGCUCCUUCCUUUCCAGGAGGUGUUUCCUGUAGGUACAGUGAGAGGAGAUGGGGUGCAGCAGCUGAGUGGGUACAGCGCUCGCCCAAUAUUUCUCACUUGUCUUGGGGACUGACCACUAAAGGUAUGAGGUGACAUGAAUGGUAAACAAUGGCUGUGUUUAUACUACUUGUGAAGGGUAUAUUCAUCAGCCAUAAAUUGAUGUAGGUUCAGGAACUACUAUAUGUUGUGCACCCCUGACCUUUAUAGGCAGUAAUUAAAUUGGUCAGGUCUCCUAAGAGUAAUAUCUGUCUGAUCACCACUUCCUCCUCGGCUGGCUGUCUUUGUUUUAUAUGAAGCUGCCUGGGGAAGGGUAUGAGCUAGAAAUGGAGGUCUAAUCCUGAAAUUAUUUUUCUGGCUGAGACCAGAGCCCCUUUCUGGGGUUUAUGGCUUAGUUAGCCAUAACUGAAAUUAAAAUGGGGGGUUGACUUGGAACAAAAGAAAGUGGAGCCACAUCUUUGGCAGACAUGAAUUUCAGGGACCUCCUGUUUCUAGAGGAAGACUGUUAGCUGAUCUUCCCCAUAUAGCAGUGAUGGGUGUGAUUUAGAGGGAAGGGCAAUUGGUUUACUCUUAUGGCUGACGUACUGGGGUUUGUUAGACUUAAAACUCUCCAAUUAAGUCAGGAUUAUGUAAAGCUAAAACUAUGGUUUCCACCAAAAAUUUAUUUCAAGAUCAAUUCUACUAUUUUUAUGUUUAAUAAGCAUUGUAGUGGACAUGUGAUGUUAUAAGAGGAGUACAGUAAGGUGUUUGGAGGGUAAAAGUUACAGUACGUAUUGAUACCCAAAGCCUCACUCUAUUUUCCCAUUAUAAUUAUGUAUUCAUAUUUUCUCUAACAGCAAGUUCCUCACUCUUAAUACUGUACUGGGAGUCCCCGGGUUAUGAGCGAGUUAUGUUCUUGAACCCUGUUCAUAAGUCAGAACAGUGUUAAUUCCAUAAGUUACCAUAGGUUAGGUUAAAACACAACCCUGCCCAUACAAAACAACAUAAAGUAAAGUAAAAAGAAAAAAUUAUCAUUACCUUGACCCCUUGGGAUCGUGUUUGUACGUACGGGUCUUUGUAGGUCGGGCAUUUGUAUAUUUGGGACUCCCUGUAUUAUCUCUGCAGCUCCUGGGGUUGUCUAGGCCACUGCACAUUUAAUGUUGUCACCAUUUCUUUUUAUUGUACUUGUGCAGACUCCCCCACCCCCACCUCAUCAAAUUAUUUAAAAUAUGAUUUCCAGUUUAAGUAUCUUGAGUUUCUUACUUGGGGUGCACUUCUGAGGAAUAUUGGAAGGUCAUUUGGGUGGUCCCAUUAUGUGUGUACAGCAAUUAAUGUACAUGAAACACUACAUGAACAAAACAAAUGCAUAACUGAGUAAGAAACUAUUUGAUGCUGUAAACACCACAUGGGUAUUGGGAUGGCGCAGGGAACAGGAAUGCAUCAUAUAUCUGGUAACUGUGCUCCUAAUGAUGCAGUGCACUUCCCACAAUGAUUUGGCUAGGCAUGUGUUUUGAUUUCCAGAGUGGCUAAAGGCUUGACCCUUAGUUGUUCAGUGCUUAUAUUUAUGAAAUGCCCCUUGUACAGUAAAUUUUGGUUUUAAAAAGGCUAAAUCAUGCAAGAUUCCACCUGUACAAAAUGAGGGUUGUACAUUUUUGGGGAUUAUGAACUGCUGUUGUGUAUUGCUGGUCCUUGAAAUUUAAGUUUGCCUUAACAAAAUGUAUUUACAGUGUGCAUGCAAAGCAACAGUAAAAACACAAUAUCAUCGCUUCCGCGUGUCUCACCCCAAGAGAACACCCAGGGCAAUGCAUGACUUAGAUUCCAUCACUGACUGGCUCCUGCUUUCAAUAACUCCAACUCGAUGGACAUCACUCUUUUCUACAUAUUUCCUCGUCACUGAAUUCCCUUUACAAAUUCAUAAUUGCUCUCAUCAGUGAUAUUCACCUCACAUAGCCUCUUAAUCUUGGACAGGGUAAUCGAGGGGGGGAUCCCUUACACUCGAUGCUGGCAUGAGACACAGAGGGUGUGCAUCUGUCUAAAAACUUGGAACCUAGGCUGAGAGGGGUCCAAGUUGUCAACCAACAUACAGGGGGUAUUGUUCAAGAUGGGAUUCAAAAGCUUAGACAAUCAAUUGAUGAUAUGGGCAGCUUACUGUAAACUGUUAGUUGAUGAAUUUAACACAGUUAGGGUUAAUAUCUUAAUAUCUUUUGUGAUGGGUUUUUAUUGAAUAUAAAUAUUAAAUUAUAUGUGGAGAUGUUUGCAUAUUUGAUUAUAGGACUGUAUGUUAAUUAAGGUAGUCAGGCAAUGAGUUUAUCACAACAAUAUUAAUGCCACAGAUGAGGUGUUAUUAGAGAUAAACUACAGCCAUGUUAAUAAUAUACUGUACAGUGGUGUGCCAAGUAAUAGUGCCACAGGUUCUUAGAUUCACUGGCUCUCUUCAGUAUAACACCUCAUUGAAAAAGAUGGUGGUGAGGCUGCCCCAUGCCCCUAAUAAUUAGAGUGUCAUUAUGCUUCCCUUCCCUCUUUGGUGGGGGUCAUACCUGCCAUCAAACACCCCUACCAAAGUUAUAAUAAUACAGUACCCCAUCGACUUCUUCCUGGUAAGUACAGUUCAGUUUUUCAUGGUUUUCAUUUACUUUUAGAUAUAGUUUGCCUCCCUACUAAUGAAUACAUAAAAUAAAGCCUUAAUAUGUACACUCACUAACUGAGUUCUGUCACCUCUUCUGCUGCUCCAUAAAUGCUUCAGAUUCACGAGUCUGAAUAUUGGGGUUCGUGGAGCAGCAGACGAGGCGACAGGACUUACGUCAGUAACUGUACAUGUACAGUAGGUUCUCACAUGUCUUUUGUUUUAGUCAGUGAAGCUGGAAAAAUCCAACAUAUACUGUAGUAUGAUUGUUGGUGUAUUGAGUCUCUGCCAAAUCUACAGAACAUAUGUAAAGGUCAUGUGACAGCACUACGAACUAGGUGGGAGCAGGAAGCGAGUCGAGGUCAAACAGCAUUCAAAUCAUCUCAUCCCACAAUUGAAGAACUUAGAAGUCGCAUGAAUAACAAUGGU
Molecule: unclassified non-coding RNA, 6341 nt
Filed under: Homarus americanus (American lobster)
Lineage: Eukaryota; Metazoa; Arthropoda; Malacostraca; Decapoda; Nephropidae
Description: serine/threonine-protein kinase TNNI3K-like, transcript variant X8
Source: RNAcentral